UUAAGGGCACUUGGGUUUAUUGCCCCGAGUAGUCAUAUCAGUGUAGCACUUGCCACACUUCUCUCUGUUGCCAUAAGUUCCUGGUGGAACACAUUUGCACCUAACACAGCAUGUAGUGCAAGCUCUUCCACAAACGUUUGGCCUUGAGUGUGCCUUGCAUCUUGCUGCACAUAGUGGGAUGCAAUCUGAAAAGAACAGGUACAAAAGUACUGUCAAAAGAUGAACCAAAACGUUCUAAAAUAAAAAUGAAACUUUUGUUAAUUUUUAAAUGAUACCUUUGUUUGACCUCACAAUAGGCAUUGGUGGAGAUGCCGGAGAGGGAACUUGGGGGGCAGGAGCUGUUUUAGGUGGGGUCACUGGUGGGGGAGUGGUUGUGGGUGGCUUCACUGGUGGUGGAUAAGUGGUGGGUGGCUUGAGUGGUGGUGCCGGCGUAACUGUUGGUGGCUUCACUGGUGGGGACUUCACUGGUGGUGCUGGUGGGGGAGUGGUUGUGGGUGGCUUCACUGGUGGUGGAUAAGUGGUGGGUGGCUUCACUACUGGUGGUGGAGUGAAUGGCUUAACUGGAGCCUUAGAAGGAGCUGGUGCAG
This 587-nucleotide long non-coding RNA is filed under the name Citrus maxima (pomelo). RNAcentral's name for it is "long non-coding RNA (CMAX_LNC002911)". The record is from RNAcentral. Lineage: Eukaryota; Viridiplantae; Streptophyta; Magnoliopsida; Sapindales; Rutaceae.